RNAcentral lists this ribosomal RNA (151 nucleotides) under uncultured Staphylococcus sp. Its description in RNAcentral is "partial 16S ribosomal RNA". It matches the Rfam family "Bacterial small subunit ribosomal RNA", at positions 382 to 526 of the family's 1533-position model. Lineage: Bacteria; Bacillati; Bacillota; Bacilli; Caryophanales; Staphylococcaceae. The record is from RNAcentral.
GCUGAUGGAGCACGCCGCGUGAGUGAAGAAGGUCUUCGGAUCGUAAAACUCUGUUAUUAGGGAAGAACAAAUGUGUAAGUAACUAUGCACGUCUUGACGGUACCUAAUCAGAAAGCCCCGGCUAACUACGUGCCCGCAGCCCCGGUAAUAA